UCCCUUGCUCCAGGUGUGAAAUGACUGGC
Molecule: non-coding RNA, 29 nt
Filed under: Mus musculus (house mouse)
Lineage: Eukaryota; Metazoa; Chordata; Mammalia; Rodentia; Muridae
Source: RNAcentral